RNAcentral lists this non-coding RNA (25 nucleotides) under Rattus norvegicus (Norway rat). The record is from RNAcentral. Lineage: Eukaryota; Metazoa; Chordata; Mammalia; Rodentia; Muridae.
UGUCUGAGCAAUGGUGCUUCGCUUG